GGACCUGACUGCUAUCGGAUUGAUACUAAGCCAUGCGAGUCAUUGUAGCAAUACAAGGCAUACGGCUCAGUAACGCGUAGUCAACCUAACCUAUGGACGGGAAUAACCUCGGGAAACUGAGAAUAAUGCCCGAUAGAACAUUAUGCCUGGAAUGGUUUAUGUUCCAAAUGAUUUAUCGCCGUAGGAUGGGACUGCGGCCUAUCAGUUUGUUGGUGAGGUAAUGGCCCACCAAGACUAUUACAGGUACGGGCUCUGAGAGGAGUAGCCCGGAGAUGGGUACUGAGACACGGACCCAGGCCCUAUGGGGCGCAGCAGGCGAGAAAACUUUGCAAUGUGCGAAAGCACGACGAAGGUUAAUCCGAGUGGUUUCUGCUAAAGAAACCUUUUGUCGAGUCCUAGAAACACUGAUGAAUAAGGGGUGGGCGAAGUUCUGGUGUCAGCG
Molecule: ribosomal RNA, 442 nt
Filed under: uncultured archaeon
Lineage: Archaea
Description: bacterial SSU rRNA
Rfam family: Archaeal small subunit ribosomal RNA
Source: RNAcentral